RNAcentral lists this ribosomal RNA (252 nucleotides) under uncultured bacterium. Its description in RNAcentral is "partial 16S ribosomal RNA". It matches the Rfam family "Bacterial small subunit ribosomal RNA", at positions 524 to 776 of the family's 1533-position model. The record is from RNAcentral.
UACGUAGGGGGCGAGCGUUAUCCGGAUUCAUUGGGCGUAAAGCGCGCGUAGGCGGCCGCCUAAGCGGAACCUCUAACCCCGGGGCUCAACCUCGGGCCGGGUUCCGGACUGGGCGGCUCGAGUGCGGUAGAGGAGAGCGGAAUUCCCGGUGUAGCGGUGGAAUGCGCAGAUAUCGGGAAGAACACCGAUGGCGAAGGCAGCUCUCUGGGCCGUCACGGACGCUGAGGCGCGAAAGCUGGGGGAGCGAACAGG